This 476-nucleotide long non-coding RNA is filed under the name Equus asinus (donkey). RNAcentral's name for it is "lncRNA (ENSEASG00005036671.1)". The record is from RNAcentral. Lineage: Eukaryota; Metazoa; Chordata; Mammalia; Perissodactyla; Equidae.
GGGGAACCGCGGGAGGUUUCUGUCCCGCGCACCCUGUGACUGAGAUGCUUUUCAGGUCUUAGCGCACGCCUUGUUUUUUGAAUAGUUGAGGGAAAAUUAGUAUGAAAUCAUGCAGCCCUGGGGGGCCGGAUCCUAGGAACUUUUUGUUUGGUUUUAACGUCUUAUCCUUUCGAUGAAAAGUUGAGGCACCACAGAUGGAGACUGGGGAGAGCUGACUUUGGGAACAAUUCUUACCCUUUGCCAACUUCUGCCAGUUUCCCCAGGAUCCCCUCUGCCGGCUCUGGAGGAGUGGGGUGUCCCAGCGGGUCUCAUCCUGGUCACCAGACACCGUAGAGGAGGAAAAAUGGUUUUCUCUCUGCUGUUUGUGACUCUGCCAACAUAAGGACGACAAAGACAAAAACUCUGAAGACAUUCACAGUCCAAUGGAAAAGAUGGCCAGGAAAUAUGGGUGUUAAAUCUACUGCCAGCGCUGGAGA